This 479-nucleotide ribosomal RNA is filed under the name uncultured Pedobacter sp. RNAcentral's name for it is "partial 16S ribosomal RNA". Lineage: Bacteria; Pseudomonadati; Bacteroidota; Sphingobacteriia; Sphingobacteriales; Sphingobacteriaceae. The record is from RNAcentral.
CACGGAGUUAGCCGAUCCUUAUUCUUCUGGUACAUUCAGUUCCGUAUACAUACGGAAGUUUAUUCCCAGAUAAAAGCAGUUUACGACCCAGAGGGCUGUCUUCCUGCACGCGGCAUGGCUGGUUCAGAGUUGCCUCCAUUGACCAAUAUUCCUUACUGCUGCCUCCCGUAGGAGUCUGGUCCGUGUCUCAGUACCAGCGUGGGGGGUCAUCCUCUCAGAUCCCCUAGACAUCGCGGUCUUGGUGGGCCGUUACCCCGCCAACUAACUAAUGUCACGCAUGCCCAUCUUGAUCCUAUAAAUAUUUGAACAUUGGAUAAUGCUAUCCUGUGUUUUUAUGUCGGUGUUAAUCCGGAUUUCUCGGGCUAUCCCCCUGAUCAAGGUAGGUUGCAGUACGCGUUACGCACCCGUGCGCCACUGUCAUAUCCAGCAAGCUGGAUAUCUCGUUCGACUUGCAUGUAUUAGGCUGCCGCUAGUCGUUC